CGGCUAACUUCGUGCCAGCAGCCGCGGUAAUACGAAGGGGGCUAGCGUUACUCGGAAUUAUUGGGCGUAAAGCGUGCGUAGGCUGCUUAGUAAGUCAAAAGUGAAAGCCUUGGGCUCAACCUAAGAAUUGCUUUUGAAACUACUAAGCUUGAGUACUGUAGGGGGUAGCGGAAUUCCUAGUGUAGGGGUGAAAUUCGUAGAUAUUAGGAGGAACACCGGAGGCGAAAGCGGUUAUCUGGACAGUCACUGACGCUGUUGCACGAAAGCGUGGGGAGCAAACAGGAUUAGAUACCCUGGUAGUCCACG
RNAcentral lists this ribosomal RNA (306 nucleotides) under Candidatus Midichloria sp. RNAcentral's name for it is "bacterial SSU rRNA". It matches the Rfam family "Bacterial small subunit ribosomal RNA", at positions 494 to 799 of the family's 1533-position model. Lineage: Bacteria; Pseudomonadati; Pseudomonadota; Alphaproteobacteria; Rickettsiales; Candidatus Midichloriaceae. The record is from RNAcentral.